RNAcentral lists this ribosomal RNA (400 nucleotides) under uncultured bacterium. RNAcentral's name for it is "bacterial SSU rRNA". It matches the Rfam family "Bacterial small subunit ribosomal RNA", at positions 355 to 746 of the family's 1533-position model. The record is from RNAcentral.
UCGAGGAUCUUUUGCAAUGGGCGAAAGCCUGACAAUGCGACGCCGCGUGAGGGAUGAAGGUUUUCGGAUCGUAAACCUCUGUCAAGAGGGAUGAUGCUUAUUCGGAUCAAUACCCUGAAUAGGUGACAGUACCUCUGAAGGAAGCCACGGCUAACUCCGUGCCAGCAGCCGCGGUAAUACGGAGGUGGCAAGCGUUACUCGGAUUUAUUGGGUGUAAAGGGCGUGUAGGCGGUUGCGCAAGUCGAACGUGAAAUCCCACGGCUUAACCGUGGAACUGCAUUCGAAACUGCGCGACUUGAGUAUGGGAGAGGAAAAUGGAAUUCCCGGUGUAAGGGUGAAAUCUGUGGAUAUCGGGAGGAACACCAGUGGCGAAGGCGAUUUUCUGGCCCAUAACUGACGC